RNAcentral lists this ribosomal RNA (455 nucleotides) under uncultured bacterium. Its description in RNAcentral is "bacterial SSU rRNA". It matches the Rfam family "Bacterial small subunit ribosomal RNA", at positions 340 to 786 of the family's 1533-position model. The record is from RNAcentral.
UACGGGAGGCAGCAGUGGGGAAUAUUGCACAAUGGGCGCAAGCCUGAUGCAGCCAUGCCGCGUGUAUGAAGAAGGCCUUCGGGUUGUAAAGUACUUUCAGUCGUGAGGAAGGUGUUAAGGUUAAUAACCUUAGCAAUUGACGUUAGCGACAGAAGAAGCACCGGCUAACUCCGUGCCAGCAGCCGCGGUAAUACGGAGGGUGCGAGCGUUAAUCGGAAUUACUGGGCGUAAAGGGCACGCAGGCGGUUAAUUAAGUUGGAUGUGAAAUCCCCGGGCUUAACCUGGGAAUGGCAUUCAAGACUGGUUAGCUAGAGUCUUGUAGAGGGGGUAGAAUUCCAUGUGUAGCGGUGAAAUGCGUAGAGAUGUGGAGGAAUACCGGUGGCGAAGGCGGCCCCUGGACAAAAGACUGACGCUCAUGUGCGAAAGCGUGGGGAGCAAAACAGGGAUUAGAUACC